This 230-nucleotide long non-coding RNA is filed under the name Lathyrus oleraceus (garden pea). RNAcentral's name for it is "Pisum sativum (pea) long non-coding RNA (PSAT_LNC035251)". Lineage: Eukaryota; Viridiplantae; Streptophyta; Magnoliopsida; Fabales; Fabaceae. The record is from RNAcentral.
UUCCUCUUACUAGGAUUUCUGUCUCCUUGUACACAAAUUGCCUGUUUAUAGGCCCUCUUUCAAAAUCAAUACAAUUUCAUUUCCAAAAAGAUGCUUUUGUUUUACUUUCUCUGUUUUGUUUGCGUAAACGUCCAUUGAUUUAACUUGAAUUGAUAUAUGCAUUUGAAUAUGAUCAAUGUUUAUCAAAAUACAUGCAUAAAAUAGCAAUGGCAGUUACUAAAAGACUUCAG